CUGAUGGCCCUGUGCACAGUGCCAUGCACAGCCUGUUGUUCUCAGUGUGCCUUUCCAUAGGCUACUGUAUGACGCACUGUGCACACAAAACUCCCACAGUUUCUAAAGAGAUAUUUCUUACUGUGUUUUCUUUCAAUGUACAUAUUAUAUCCUGGGUUUUUAUGAAAUAACCAUAGCAACAACACUAACACAGAUAUCUUCAAUGAGAAAUAUUAAGCUAUAGCUCUUGCUGUGAUUCUGAAAUGAAAUCUGCUCUGUUGGCAAAUUCUGGGGUACAAGCCAAGCCAGGGAUUUAAUCCCAUCCCUAGGGUUGUUUUAGAGUGCAAGAUGGAUCGAUAGAAAUUUUCAGUAAUUUCUUGAGAUGGUUGUCCAAGAAUGCUGGUACAGACUGACUGCCGUUUUCCUCAGAAACAGCAAGCAAACCUUGGAGUUGUACCUGCCCAUCAUCCCUUCAAUAGGAAAGCUGUUCUGGGACCCCCUGUCAUGUCUAGUGGCUAUGGGUGAAGUAGAAGUCUCUUGGAAAUCUCUUAAUCUUGUGUUGAGUCCAUCUUUAAUAUUUCUUAGGUUGGUUGUUUUUUUUUUUUUUCUCCCUUCCUUUCUUUCUUUAAAUGGCUGCAUAAUCUUUUUCUGGAGGAAUCAAAGACCUCAUUCCAAAGAAGCGGGUCUCUUUGUACUCCCUUGAUCUUCUGCUAAUCCAUGUAGUUAGCUAUCGCUUGCUGUGAAAAAUAACCUAGCUGGUUUUCCUUGGAUCUGUCAAUCGUAGCAUCUCUUCAUCGCUGAAUUUUUCUCCCCUAAAUGGGCAUGAUGUAAGAGCUGACUGUAUUGCAUCUUCGUAAUGGCUUAGCUAUCUAGACUGGUAAUUAUCAAUGCCUGAACGAGAUUCAAAGCCUUGCACGCUUUGCCUGUUGCCUGGAGGCUCUUGUAUCACUUGAGGAUGCCCUGACUAACAUGGCAGCACUCUCUCAGCAGCAUUCAGGCAAACAAUAGGAUGCACAACAUAUAAACUAAACUGAGCUAUGUUGUUUGAUUUGAGCAAGGCACCGUGACUGAGGGGCAAGAGAUAUUGCAUCUCUGCUGAACUGCAGGUGCAAUGAGAGCACGCACUUAGCCAAUGUCUGGAAAAGAGAAUCUAAGAAAUUCUGCUUUUGCUGAAACAGAUCAAGGUCUGAGCCAACUCAGCAGGUAAAUAGAUGAUGCUUAAAUCUUCAUUAAUUUGUCCUCAGACACACCACUCACCUAUGGGAAUGGCUUCCUGAGUGGCACUGGAGGUCCAUGAUCAAUAGGACCAAUGGAGAGCUUCCAGAAAUGGGACCACCGCUUCCCGCUGGGCGUUUUCCUCCCCGUUCCCAGCAGGGCUGUGCUAGUGGGCUGCUGUGGGUUUUGUGCCCAGAGCCCUGCCCUGGCCGGGGCAGCAGGCAGCAGCGUGUGGGCAGCCAACACGGCCCAGUUUGCUCUCCGCAGCCCGGCGGUGUGGCAGCCCCGAGGCCGGAGGGCUGGAUGGGAGCGUGGGGUGGGAGAAGAGUCCCCCGAGAAGCCUGUGUGGUCUGGAGAGCCCUUAUCCUGCUCAGGCGCUGCGGACCGAGCCGUCACCCUGCCCCUUUGGUGGCUGCGGUGCUGCUCACCUUGGCAAGCAGAUGACUUGAACCUGUCCCUGGCAGGCAAAGCCCCAGGAGGCAAGACCCCGAGGGUGAAUUUGGAGGGCAGAUUAUUAAAACACUGAGUUACCAGAAGUCUACUCCAGAGAAACUAUUUGAGCACACACAAAUCAGUAUGCAAAGAUUCAACAGAGACAUGUCUGAGUGAUUAACAACUCAGAUUUAUUAAGGUUAGCUCAUGCCAAAUGCAUCUAACUGCCUUCAGCAUAGUUGCUGAUGAAGACGAUAACAGAGAACACAGUGCAGGGGAUACCUGAAUUCCAGAGACAAAUCCCCUUAUAUAGCCCCAUCACAUAAUGAACAAAGAAACCACAAAAUGCCAACUAGAUUAGCAAAAAGCAAGCAGAAAAAAACCCACAAUGAGUCAGAAAAUUAGCUCAGGAAGGAGAAACAGAAUACAAUUAUCAUCAGUUAGCUCUUCAAGUGGAAAACAGUACCGAGGGGCUGUCCAAAGCACACUGAAGGAAUAAAUGGGAAUGUCCUCAAUUAAGUCCAGAUCAAGCCCUGGGAAGUGGGGCUAUAGCUGGCUCAGUGUCAGAGACGAUCCUCUUGCACUGAGAUACAACUCAGCAGAUUGGGUCACUCCCGGACCGGGGAAGACGAGGGAGGAAAAAGCCCGAACCUCACCCAGAAGGCUCGGAUGCAAAGGCACACCCAGAAUUAACACUCGGAAGAUAAUGAGCAGACACCCCCUGCCACCGGCAGCAAAGGAGAGUCUCUCCCUCAAGUCAGGGCAGAUGGCUCUACCCUCUCACCGACUGAGGAGCAAACACGCCUGCUUCCCUCGAGCCAUCGCCUCCUGUGCUGCGGUAGGGAGAAAAAUGCUUCUGAUCUCCCCAGACUUUGGAUGAAGCCCAAGCGGGAAUACUGACAGGGUUGUUGAACCUCAGCGGCUUCUGGCCCCAAGGAUUUCCCCUCUGCAAGGAUCUUCAGUUGGUGCUUGUAGCUGACAGUAGCAACAGUAAUUUUCAAAACAUCACUUCUGACAGUUUCGUGCCAUUCUACCAGAACUGCAGCAUAUUCCUCAGCCAGGUCUGCGGAAGUCAUUGCUAUUUCAAAUCCACACUUGUAGCCAACUUGAGUACCAUAAUCAGUGUGAAUCCAAGGUGGCCAGACUUUGGGUGUUGUUACAAAAUAGUUUAUGAUACAUAAUAAAAAUGAUGGCAGGCAAGUUUUAGA
Molecule: long non-coding RNA, 2834 nt
Organism: Harpia harpyja (harpy eagle)
Lineage: Eukaryota; Metazoa; Chordata; Aves; Accipitriformes; Accipitridae
Exons: 2
Source: RefSeq, a predicted model, not a curated record